CCUACGGGAGGCAGCAGUGAGGAAUAUUGGUCAAUGGACGCAAGUCUGAACCAGCCAUGCCGCGUGCAGGAAGACGGCUCUAUGAGUUGUAAACUGCUUUUGUACGAGGGUAAACGCAGAUACGCGUAUCUGUCUGAAAGUAUCGUACGAAUACGGAUCGGCUAACUCCGUGCCAGCAGCCGCGGUAAUACGGAGGAUUCAAGCGUUAUCCGGAUUUAUUGGGUUUAAAGGGUGCGUAGGCGGUCGGAUAAGUUAGAGGUGAAAUCCCGAGGCUCAACUUCGGAAUUGCCUCUGAUACUGUUCGGCUUGAGAGUAGUUGCGGUAGGCGGAAUGUAUUGUGUAGCGGUGAAAUGCUUAGAGAUCAUACAGAACACCGAUUGCGAAGGCAGCUUACCAAGCUACUUCUGACGUUGAGGCACGAAAGCGUGGGGAGCAAACAGGAUUAGAUACCCCAGUAGUC
Molecule: ribosomal RNA, 460 nt
Filed under: uncultured bacterium
Lineage: Bacteria
Description: partial 16S ribosomal RNA
Rfam family: Bacterial small subunit ribosomal RNA
Source: RNAcentral